RNAcentral lists this ribosomal RNA (445 nucleotides) under uncultured bacterium. Its description in RNAcentral is "partial 16S ribosomal RNA". It matches the Rfam family "Bacterial small subunit ribosomal RNA", at positions 354 to 796 of the family's 1533-position model. The record is from RNAcentral.
GUGAGGAAUAUUGGUCAAUGGACGAGAGUCUGAACCAGCCAAGUCGCGUGAAGGAAGACGGUUCUAUGAAUUGUAAACUUCUUUUGUGCAGGAAUAAAGUGGGUUACGUGUAACCUUUUGUAUGUACUGUACGAAUAAGGAUCGGCUAACUCCGUGCCAGCAGCCGCGGUAAUACGGAGGAUCCGAGCGUUAUCCGGAUUUAUUGGGUUUAAAUGGUGCGUAGGUGGAUUGAUAAGUUAGCGGUGAAAGUUUGCAGCUUAACUGUAAAAUUGCCGUUGAAACUGUCGGUCUUGAGUGUAAAUGAGGUAGGCGGAAUGUGUUGUGUAGCGGUGAAAUGCUUAGAUAUAACACAGAACUCCGAUUGCGAAGGCAGCUUACUGGGAUGCAACUGACACUGAUGCACGAAAGCGUGGGUAUCAAACAGGAUUAGAAACCCGAGUAGUCC